UAGAGAGCCUCCAUCUCCAUUCAUCUCCUCUAUCCCAUUGAAAUUUCCUCUUUCCCAUUGCCGAUAUGCUUAUGCUUAUCUUUCUACUUCUCUGAAAAUUGAAGCCCUAAUCAACGCUGUUGCUUCUCCCCUUAUAUUUUACUUCCUCCCCACAUUACUGGACUCACAGCUUAGUUAAUUCUUGAAAACUCUAUCAGCAACGGGAUCCUGUAAAUGGAAGAUUCGGGUCGUCGGAGAAAGCAUACGGGAUCCAUGGCGGUUCAUCGCCACAACAUUGAUUCAAAGAUCAAGAUACAUAGAUCGAUUAUAUUUUGAAGAGGAAAUUCAAUCUUCUGCACAUAAUCUACAAUCUUGUUCACGACAUUAUCGCAUUUGAUUGUUUCGUUUGUUAAACUUAAAACAAACACAAAUGAAGAUGUGGAUCUCGAAGAUUAAACGAUCUAUGGAAUCAAGUGUGUAAAGGUGAGAGUCCAAAUUAAGAUGCUAAUCCAAGAAGAGGGGAUAGCAAUGUGGUUUGGGCAACCAGUGAUGAUGAUACAGAGAUUGAAGUUGUUCGGUGUGAACAAGACAAUGAUCAGAUAGAUGUUAAAAAACAUAAAAGGAUGGUUUCGAACAGAGAUUCUGCUAGGCGGUCAAGAAAAAGAAAACAAGCACAUUUAACAUAUCUUGGGCAACAAGUGCCUACUUAUUAACAAUGUUUAUAUACAUAUAUCCUUAAAUUUCUAGAACUACACCAAAAUAUCUGUUAACCAAACAUGUGUUUCUGGUGGAACUACUGCAAGUAGAGUGUUCAGAUUUGUUCAACAACACACGAGUGCGAGCCAUCAGUUCAACGAUGCCUCAACAAACAACUGAGUGCUCAAGUCAGAAGUGGAAGCUCUGGGAGCUAAGGUGUUGUGUAUGAUGUUGCUUCAGUGUUAACAAGUAUUUACCAUUUGAGCCCAUUGAUGAAAUCACACGUUAUCUUCUGAAAUCACACGUUAUCUUCUUAGACUAGCUGAGGAAAAUAAAGGGUUGUCUUCUUAAAAUCUUGCCAGGCAACUGAUGAUAUAAACCUGAAAGCGCGCUUGUAGUUUAUGUAUUAAUUUUUUUUUUUCAAAAAUGCUUGAUUUUGAUGAUUUUUCAUGGUGUAUUUUCAAAAGGAAAGAUUUGAAGAGGAGAACAAAAGUAUAUUUUGGUUAUACCAAGGACAAACUUUUAAAGAUAAAAUGUUGGGUUUUUAAAUGGUUCUUUGCCGGUGGAAUUUGAUGGUAAAUGCAUAAUUUGGGAUUUGGGUUUGGGUUGGAUGAUGGCUUAAAGUUUGAAGAUGAAUGAUGUUGUUGCUGCUUGGAAGAUAGUUGCUGAUAGAGUUUUGAAGACUAAAGCUUUAUUCAGCAGUUACUUGGAAAUGAUGGGUACAUGGACAAGUCAAAUUGAGCAAAGAAAAGUUGCUAGAGUUGGAGACUAAUCAUCGAAAAAAAUCAUGUUAUCAGUUAUUUACCUUUAGCAAUAAUAUAUCACUUUGUUUGUAUUUAUUUUAUUUAUAUUAUAAACUUACAAUUAAUGUAAAUCAAAUUUUCCUACCCGGGAAGUCUCAUUAAUAAAGUAUUAAUAUCCUUAAAAUAGAGCGACCCGUGGGUACCCGGGUAAUAUAUAUUAUAUUGUUAUAUAUGAUACGUGUCAAUAUGUUAUAUUUUUUAUUAAUGUUUUCAUUUGUGUAUGCAGAUGGACAAUUGCAAAUCAAAAGUACAGUUUUAGGGUUUGUGAGAAUGCUCGCUGCCCGGGUUAUUGGUGCUCUAAUAAUUGUGACUGUUAAUGUAGAUGAUAGAAGGUUAUCUAUUGCAAAAGAGGUUGGUACACAUGAUAUCAUCAAAGCCUCCACAACUUAUAUUUGUACGCUCAAGCUACACCAUAGAGUUUCUUUUAAAGCUAAUCCCCACCCUGAUGAGAAAGAAAGAUUGGCUCUGGGAAAGAAACUGAACUGGGAAAACAAGCAAGUCAAGUUUUGGUUUCAGAAUAUAACACAAAUGAAGACUCAACUCGAGCCCCGUGAAACGCAAUAUUGAAACAAGAAAAUUAUAAGCUACGGAUC
This is an RNA transcript of Helianthus annuus (common sunflower), 2071 nucleotides long. It is a transcript of the gene named homeobox-leucine zipper protein HDG1-like, with no coding region annotated. Lineage: Eukaryota; Viridiplantae; Streptophyta; Magnoliopsida; Asterales; Asteraceae. The record is from RefSeq and is a predicted model, not a curated record. The transcript has 9 exons.